CAAGGAAUAGUUUAGCGUAGAAUGCUGGCUUUGGGAGUCAGUGGUGAAGGUUAGAAUCCUUUUUCCUUGA
This 70-nucleotide transfer RNA is filed under the name Acanthocepola krusensternii (red-spotted bandfish). Its description in RNAcentral is "tRNA-Pro". It matches the Rfam family "tRNA". Rfam says of the family: Transfer RNA (tRNA) molecules are approximately 80 nucleotides in length. Their secondary structure includes four short double-helical elements and three loops (D, anti-codon, and T loops). Further hydrogen bonds mediate the characteristic L-shaped molecular structure. tRNAs have two regions of fundamental functional importance: the anti-codon, which is responsible for specific mRNA codon recognition, and the 3' end, to which the tRNAs corresponding amino acid is attached (by aminoacyl-tRNA synthetases). tRNAs cope with the degeneracy of the genetic code in two manners: having more than one tRNA (with a specific anti-codon) for a particular amino acid; and 'wobble' base-pairing, i.e. permitting non-standard base-pairing at the 3rd anti-codon position. The record is from RNAcentral. Lineage: Eukaryota; Metazoa; Chordata; Actinopteri; Priacanthiformes; Cepolidae (in: ray-finned fishes).